GCGUGUGUGAAGAAGGUCUUCGGAUUGUAAAGCACUUUCGGCGGGGACGAUGAUGACGGUACCCGCAGAAGAAGCCCCGGCUAACUUCGUGCCAGCAGCCGCGGUAAUACGAAGGGGGCUAGCGUUGCUCGGAAUGACUGGGCGUAAAGGGCGCGUAGGCGGAGUGUACAGUCAGACGUGAAAUUCCUGGGCUCAACCUGGGGACUGCGUUUGAUACGUGCAUUCUUGAGUGAGGAAGAGGGUUGUGGAAUUCCCAGUGUAGAGGUGAGAUUCGU
RNAcentral lists this ribosomal RNA (275 nucleotides) under uncultured bacterium. RNAcentral's name for it is "partial 16S ribosomal RNA". It matches the Rfam family "Bacterial small subunit ribosomal RNA", at positions 399 to 691 of the family's 1533-position model. The record is from RNAcentral.